AUGGCCUUUACCCGCGCUAACGCGGUGGCCAGGUUACUGGUGAGUGUGCUGGACAUUGAGUUUGUGCCUGACGUGGUCAAGUGGACUCAUAAGGGCCUCAUGUAUAACCUUGAUAUAGAGUUUGAGGAUUCUGAGUACUUCGCUGAGGCUCUGGCAGGGAUGGAUGUAGACAGGCAUGAUAAGAAUGAUGGUUCGGGUAAUUCGGAGGAGCGAGGGGGGGACGCUGGGCAUGAGUUUCCCAAUGGCCCGGAUACUGACACUCAGACGCUCGGGAAAGGAGUUGCACCCACUAUGUCUGUGCUGAUGAAUACUUUGAGAUUUGAUUCUUUUCAGCCAGCUUUCGCGCCUCCCAGACUGUGGAGCGACAGGGUUGACUCUGAGGACGUGUUAGAGCGCACGUUACCUCCACUGGACUUUGUCGAGGCUGCGGGAUCUCUGGAGGAGAGGGACGGUCUUUAUGUGACCUACUGUUCUCCCUCUUCUGCUGCUGGUUCGACGCUCGGGAGGACUUCGUCAGGACUGGCAGCAUUGGUGAUGCUGACAUCGCGCGAUGAAAGGGCUGGUUUGGGAGGGGGGCCCUGGCAGGAGGCCUCGGUUCCUUCCUCUCCAGCGGUGGUCGGGGUGGCCGUACCUGCGGCGCCGGGUGACCACCUGAUGAUGGCUAGGUUGGUUUUUCGGCCCGAGUCGAGUCUGACUCCCAGGUCGGGAGGGGGAAGGGGCCAGGAGGCCCCCGUCCUCUCUUCUCCUCGCGGGUCUCCGGGUGGGGAGCAUGGGCAGGCGGCCCGGCCCUCACUUGCGUCGCGCUCGCCGGCGGUUGACUGCAGUUCUCCGACUUGUCUUGCCGGGCCGGGCAUUGAGGGUGGGACAGGAGGCCUUACCCAAACGGGGCGACCCGGGAGGAGGUCAUCACCUUUGGCGGUAUUCCGGAUCCUGCAUCUCAGGGCAGACGGAUGA
RNAcentral lists this ribosomal RNA (954 nucleotides) under Triticum aestivum (bread wheat). RNAcentral describes it as "partial small subunit ribosomal RNA". Lineage: Eukaryota; Viridiplantae; Streptophyta; Magnoliopsida; Poales; Poaceae. The record is from RNAcentral.